GAUGAACGCUGGCGGUCUGCUUAACACAUGCAAGUCGAACGAACUCUUCGGAGUGAGUGGCGGACGGGUGAGUAACGCGUGAGAAUCUGCCUGUGGGUCGGGGACAACCACUGGAAACGGUGGCUAAUACCGGAUGAGCCGAAAGGUAAAAGAUUUAUUGCCCACAGAUGAGCUCGCGUCUGAUUAGCUAGUUGGUAAGGUAAAAGCGUACCAAGGCGACGAUCAGUAGCUGGUCUGAGAGGAUGAGCAGCCACACUGGGACUGAGACACGGACCAGACUCCUACGGGAGCAGCAGUGAGGAAUAUGGACAAUGGUGGAACACUGAUCCAGCCAUGCCCGUGCAGGAUGACUGCCCUAUGGGUUGUAAA
This 369-nucleotide ribosomal RNA is filed under the name uncultured bacterium. Its description in RNAcentral is "bacterial SSU rRNA". It matches the Rfam family "Bacterial small subunit ribosomal RNA", at positions 28 to 429 of the family's 1533-position model. The record is from RNAcentral.